UACGGAGGGGGCUAGCGUUGUUCGGAAUGACUGGGCGUAAAGCGCGCGUAGGCGGAUCAGCAAGUCAGGGGUGAAAGCCCGGGGCUCAACCCUGGAAUGGCCUUUGAUACUGUUGGUCUUGAGUUCGAGAGAGGUGGGUGGAAUUCCGAGUGUAGAGGUGAAAUGCGCAGAUAUCAGGAGGAACACCGGUGGCGAAGGCGGGACUCUGGGCCGAUACUGACGCUGAGGAGCGAAAGCGUGGGGAGCAAACAGG
RNAcentral lists this ribosomal RNA (253 nucleotides) under uncultured bacterium. Its description in RNAcentral is "partial 16S ribosomal RNA". It matches the Rfam family "Bacterial small subunit ribosomal RNA", at positions 524 to 776 of the family's 1533-position model. The record is from RNAcentral.